ACGGGGGGGGCAAGCGUUGUUCGGAAUUACUGGGCGUAAAGGGCUCGUAGGCGGCCAACUAAGUCGGAUGUGAAGUCCCCAGGCUCAACUUGGGAACUGCAUCCGAUACUGGAUGGCUUGAAUCCGGGAGAGGGAUGCGGAAUUCCAGGUGUAGCGGUGAAAUGCGUAGAUAUCUGGAGGAAUACCGGUGGCGAAGGCGGCAUCCUGGACCAUUACUGACGCUGAGGCGCGAAAGCUAGGGGAGCAAACGGGA
This 253-nucleotide ribosomal RNA is filed under the name uncultured prokaryote. RNAcentral describes it as "partial 16S ribosomal RNA". It matches the Rfam family "Bacterial small subunit ribosomal RNA", at positions 525 to 777 of the family's 1533-position model. The record is from RNAcentral.